AUGGAUAAGUUAGUCUAUUUUUUAUUCAAAUCUAACAUGACCUGAAAGAAGCUCAGUAUAGUUAAUUUCACAUUGAAAAUUUAAAAUUUUAAGGUAUUCUAACCUUUCUACGUCCUUACAAAACUAUAAUGGGCGAAUUAAUCUUGUGUCAUUGUACAUGGGUGUGCCUUCACAUGGUUUUUUCUUCAUAUUGAACUAGUCAGAUAAGUGAAGAACUGGAACACAUAAUUGGAAUUAUGGAAACUUCAGUGAACAGGUGUAGAAUGAUCUUGGAUUCUGUUUAAAGAGAUAUCAUGCGAGUAAACAAGGGAACGGAGGAAGUAUUAAUGGGGAUACACCCUUCAAACUGUUUGCCUCUACAAAGAUCAAGUGAUGCCUAGCUUUCUUUUUAGUCCCUUAGACCCUAAAGUGCAUCCGAAGGUUUAUGGGAAAACAACUCUGAUUCCAAAGAUAGAAUCGGGAAGGUGGACCUCUGUCAAACAGAACAAGCUUCUUUUAAAAAUGGGGGCCCUAGUAAGGAGCACAAACAGAAGUCUCUCAUUGAACCGGAAAGAGAAUGGGAAAUUCCUAUUGAAAGGAACUCUGAUCCCAAUCAGCAGGCAGGAAAUUCAGCCCCAAAGGCAGCUUCGGACUCCAGCAUCAUUAUGUUUUGUGGAUGUUGAAACCAAACACUCUAGGAACAUAACUAACAUCAUUUGUUGGCAUGUCAACAUUGUAUUGUAAUAAUACUUUAAAACAUGGCCUUUGGAUAUUUUAAUUCUUAUAUUUUA
This is a long non-coding RNA of Camellia sinensis, 770 nucleotides long. RefSeq lists it as uncharacterized. Lineage: Eukaryota; Viridiplantae; Streptophyta; Magnoliopsida; Ericales; Theaceae. The record is from RefSeq and is a predicted model, not a curated record.